AUUGAACGCUGGCGGCAUGCCUUACACAUGCAAGUCGAACGGUAACAGGUCUUCGGAUGCUGACGAGUGGCGAACGGGUGAGUAAUACAUCGGAACGUGCCUAGUAGUGGGGGAUAACUACUCGAAAGAGUGGCUAAUACCGCAUGAGAUCUACGGAUGAAAGCAGGGGAUCGCAAGACCUUGUGCUACUAGAGCGGCCGAUGGCAGAUUAGGUAGUUGGUGGGAUAAAAGCUUACCAAGCCGACGAACUGUAGCUGGUCUUAGAGGACGAUCAGCCACACUGGGACUGAGACACCGCCCAGACGCCUACGGGAGGGAGCAGUGGGGAAGUUUGGACAAUGGGCGAAAGCCUGAUCCAGCAAUGCCGCGUGCAGGAUGAAGGCCUUCGGGUUGUAAACUGCUUUUGUACGGAACGAAAAGCCCCGGGUUAAUACCCUGGGGUCAUGACGGUACCGUAAGAAUAAGCACCGGCUAACUACGUGCCAGCCGCCGCAGUAA
RNAcentral lists this ribosomal RNA (498 nucleotides) under uncultured bacterium. RNAcentral's name for it is "partial 16S ribosomal RNA". It matches the Rfam family "Bacterial small subunit ribosomal RNA", at positions 30 to 523 of the family's 1533-position model. The record is from RNAcentral.